This is a long non-coding RNA of Bos taurus (domestic cattle), 1703 nucleotides long. The record is from Ensembl. Lineage: Eukaryota; Metazoa; Chordata; Mammalia; Artiodactyla; Bovidae.
CCCGGCUCCACACUCUCCCUAACGGCCUGGGCCCGCAGCCGCAGGGCGAGCGCGGUGCGGCGGGAGGAAGCGAGCGCUCGCCCAGGGUCCCCGAGGGGUCGGCCCGGCCCCUGCGCCCGCGUUUCCAUCUCAAAUACAGCUGCGCGCAGGGCUGUUUGGGCGCCCGCGGCGCCCGGCCAGCGGCCCGGCGUGUAUUUAUAAGCACACAGCCCCACAGACAGGUCUCACCGACAUCAUUUCGCACGGCCCCGCGGUGCCGGCGGCCUGCUUCCCGACCUCCCGUCGGGGGCGGCCGCCGGUAAUCGGCGUUGAUGGGAACCGCGCUCUCCCGGCCAGAGGCACGCAGCCCGCCGCCCACAGCCAGCGCCGGCCUCCCUCCCGGGGCCCGGGGGCCGGGCCUUCCUGGUAGAGCUCUGGGGAGAGGCGGCUGUAAACACGCCGCGGGCUGACCCGCGUAUGGAAAUGACUCGCGGUCGGGCCUGGCGCCCGGCCACAGGCCUGCGGCCUCGCUGCCGCCAAGUAUCUUUAGCAGGAGCCUCGGAACCGCGGGCCCCCCGCCGCCUCCGCAGGCCCCCGCCCUGCCCGCUCACACCCCAGGGCCGAGCCUCACCCUCGAGCGCGCGACGAGGGCCCGGCUCCAUCGCCCCCCGUGUCAUCUGACAGUAAUCAUGACUUCCGCUGCCUGGACCGGGCUCUUGUUCCCAGGACCAGGCUGCAUUUACACGGAAGCAGCGGAGAAAGGAAGGCCACAGAGGGCAAGGCCGCCCUUGGGCUGGGGUCUCGCAGCUGUGGGAAAGCGGCAGGUGAAGGAGACAGUGAAACUUCUCUUGGUCUCCGUGACCGGUGGCCUCUGUUUUCUCUGAGACGCUGACACGGCCGGGGUUAACCCCUCGAUGAGACGGUGCACAGGGCACGUGGCUGUUCCACAGAUCCGUCCACUGAAGCUCCUCUCUCUCUCUCUCCCUCCCACUUUCUUUCCUCGCCGCCCCCUCCGUGUGCCCAUUCUCUACAAUACCAGCAGUUGGAUUGUUCUUUCUCGAGUUGAAUCACCCUCAACCUCCCUGUAGGUUCCACAUUCGCUCCCAUGUCUGCCCUCCAGGGCCGGGCAGGAUAAGUAGAUGAGAAAACGACCAUGGGGAUGAUGCUGGGGCUGCCGCUGAUGAGGCAAAUAUUACUCAGCUCUUACCUUGCACUGGGAAAUUUGCAGCCGUUCCGUCACAUACGAGGAUCGCAACCUCACAGAACAGGUUCUUUAACCAUCUCCAUUUCAGAGACUGUGAAACUGAGACUUGGAGGCAUUCAGUAACUUGUCCCACAUUUCACAGCAAACGGGUGGCAGAAUUAGGAUUUGAUUCAGAGUGCGAUCCAAAAGCCAGUUCUCUUAACCACGGGGAUGCAUUGAUUUUUUUUUCUCUGUCUUCAAUUUGUGCAUGCAUGCUGUCUAUUCAGUCAUGUCUGACUCUUUGCAACCCCAGGGACUGCAGCCCACCAGGCUCCUCCAUCCAUGGGGAUUCUCCAGCCAAGAAUACUGGAGUGGGUUGUCAUGCCCUCCUCCAGGGGAUCUUCCCCACCCAGGGACUGAACCCAGGUAUCCUGCAUUGCAGGUGGAUUUUUUACUGUCUGAUCCACCAGGGAAGCCCAAGAAUACAGGAGUGGGUAGCCUAUCCCUUUUUCAGGGGAACUUCCUGACGCAGGAAUUGAAU